ACGCUCGACACCUACGGGAAGCAGCAGUGGGGAAUAUUGCACAAUGGGGGAAACCCUGAUGCAGCGACGCCGCGUGAGCGAAGAAGUAUUUCGGUAUGUAAAGCUCUAUCAGCAGGGAAGAAACUGACGGUACCUGACUAAGAAGCACCGGCUAAAUACGUGCCAGCAGCCGCGGUAAUCUGAGGCGGGCUGGCAAGGC
RNAcentral lists this ribosomal RNA (199 nucleotides) under uncultured bacterium. Its description in RNAcentral is "partial 16S ribosomal RNA". It matches the Rfam family "Bacterial small subunit ribosomal RNA", at positions 326 to 539 of the family's 1533-position model. The record is from RNAcentral.